CAGAAGUGAGCAUGCAGGCAUGAGUAGCGAUAAUUAAGGUGAGAAUCCUUAACGCCGAAAACCCAAGGUUUCCUACGCGAUGCUCGUCAUCGUAGGGUUAGUCGGGUCCUAAGUCGAGACUGAAAAGUGUAGACGAUGGCAAAUUGGUUAAUAUUCCAAUACCAACAUAUAAGCGCGAUGUGGGGACGCAUAGAGUUAAUCGAGCUCACUGAUGGAAUAGUGGGUCGAAGGACGUAGGUUGUUAAGUAGGCAAAUCCGAUUAACGUUAGACCGAGAUCUUACAGGCUCUUGACACUCUUCGGAGGAGAUGGAGAAUCGAUGAUACUGUCGUGCCAAGAAAAGCCACUAAGUUUAUUAUAUGUUGCCCGUACCGUAAACCGACACAGGUGGGUGGGAUGAGUAUUCUAAGGCGCGUGGAAGAACCCUCUUUAAGGAACUCUGCAAAAUAGCACCGUAUCUUCGGUAUAAGGUGUGCCUACUUUGGUAUAUGGACUUGCUCCAAAAAGCUAGAGAGGUUGCAACAGAGAGUCCCUCCCGACUGUUUUACCAAAAACACAGCACUUUGCUAACACGUAAGUGGAUGUAUAAGGUGUGACGCCUGCCCGGUGCUCGAAGGUUAACUGAUGAUGUCAGCGCAAGCGAAGCAUUUGAUUGAAGCCCGAGUAAACGGCGGCCGUAACUAUAACGGUCCUAAGGUAGCGAAAUUCCUUGUCAGUUAAAUACUGACCUGCAUGAAUGGCGUAACGAGAUGGGAGCUGUCUCAAAGAGGGAUCCAGUGAAAUUGUAGUGGAGGUGAAAAUUCCUCCUACCCGCGGAAAGACGGAAAGACCCCGUGCACCUUUACUACAGCUUGACACUGUAGCUUGGAUAUUCAUGUGCAGGAUAGGUGGGAGGCUAUGAUGACUAGACGCAAGUAGAGUCGGAGCCAUCCUUGAGAUACCACCCUUGAAUAUUUGAGUUACUAACUGCGAUGAGUUAUCCUCAUUCAGGACAAUGUCUGGUGGGUAGUUUGACUGGGGCGGUCGCCUCCUAAAUAGUAACGGAGGCUUACAAAGGUUAGUUCAAAGCGGUUGGAAAUCGCUUGUUGAGUAUAAUGGCAUAAACUAGCUUGACUGUGAGACCUACAAGUCGAACAGAGACGAAAGUCGGUCAUAGUGAUCCGGUGGUUCUGCGUGGAAGGGCCAUCGCUCAAAGGAUAAAAGGUACGCCGGGGAUAACAGGCUGAUCUCCCCCAAGAGCUCACAUCGACGGGGAGGUUUGGCACCUCGAUGUCGGCUCAUCGCAUCCCGGGGCUGCAGUCGGUCCCAAGGGUAUGGCUGUUCGCCAUUUAAAGCGGUACGCGAGCUGGGUUCAGAACGUCGUGAGACAGUUCGGUCCCUAUCUUCCGUGGGCGUAGGAAAGUUGAAGAGAUUUGUCCCUAGUACGAGAGGACCGGGAUGAACCAACCACUGGUGUACCAAUUGUUCUGCCAAGAGCAUCGUUGGGUAGCCACGUUGGGAUGUGAUAAGAGCUGAAAGCAUCUAAGCUCGAAGCCAACUCUAAGAUGAACUUUCCCUGAAGUUCCCAGCAAGACUAGCUGGUUG
RNAcentral lists this ribosomal RNA (1583 nucleotides) under metagenome. Its description in RNAcentral is "bacterial LSU rRNA". It matches the Rfam family "Bacterial large subunit ribosomal RNA", at positions 1283 to 2855 of the family's 2925-position model. The record is from RNAcentral.